This 2126-nucleotide long non-coding RNA is filed under the name Salmo salar (Atlantic salmon). RNAcentral describes it as "lncRNA (ENSSSAG00000105757.1)". The record is from RNAcentral. Lineage: Eukaryota; Metazoa; Chordata; Actinopteri; Salmoniformes; Salmonidae.
CAAAAACCCGGAAAUACUAAAUCAAACACCCUUUACACAAACACACCACCCCGAACCACAUAAAACAAAUACCCUCUGCCACGUCCUGACCAAACUACAAAAACAAUUAACCCUAUACUGGCCAGGACGUGACAGUUACAGCCUUAUUCUAAAAUGGAUUAAAUAAAUAUGUAACCUCUUGAAUCUACACACAAUACCCCAUAAUGACAAAGCGAAAACAGGUUUUUAGAAUUUUUGCUAAUUUAUUCAAAAUAAAAAACAGAAAUACCUUAUUUAAAUAAGUAUUUUGACCCCUUUCUAUGAGACUUUAAAUUGAGCUCAGGUACAUCCUGUUUUCAUUGAUCAUCCUUGAGAUGUUUCUACAACUUGAUUGGAGUCCACCUGUGGUAAAUUCAAUUAAUUGCACAUAAUUUCGAAAGGCACACACCUGCCUAUGUAAGGUGCCACAGUUGACGGUGCAUGUCAGAGCAAAAACCAAGCAACGAGGUCGAAGGAAUUGUCCAUAGAGCUCCGAGACAGGAUUGUGUCGAGGCACAGAGGUGACCAAGAACCCGAUGGUCCCUCUGACAGAGCUCCAAAGUUCCUCUGUGGAGAUGGGAGAACCUUCCAGGAGGACAACCAUCUCUGCAGCACUCCACCAAUCAGGCCUUUAUGGUAGAGUGGCCAGACGGAAGCCACUACUCAGUAAAAGGCACAUGACAGCCUGAAUGUAAUUUGUCAAAAGGCACUUAAAGACUCUCAGACCAUGAGAAACAAGAUUACCUGGGGAGGUUAGGGGGGUUAGUAUAGAAUAAUGGAGGUAUAAUAGGUGGGUUAGUAUAGAAUAAUGGAGGUAUAAUAGGGGGGUUAGUAUAGAAUAAUAGAGGUAUAACAGGGGGAUAGCACAGAAUAAUGGAGGUAUAAUAGAAUGGAGGAGGUUUAAUAGGUGGGUUAGUAUUAGAUAAUGGAGGUAUAAUGGGGGGUUAGUAUAGAAUAAUGGAUGCAUAUCAGAAUGUAGGAGGUAUAAUUGGGGGGUUAGUAUAGAAUAAUGGAGGUAUAUCAGAAUGUAGGAGGUAUAAUUUGGGGGUUAGUAUAGAAUAAUGGAGGUUUAUCAGAAUGUAGGAGGUAUAAUAGGUGGGUUAGUAUAGAAUAAUGGAGGUAUAACGGAGGGUUAGUAUAGAAUAAUGGAGGUAUAAUAGGGGGGUUAGUAUAGAAUAAUGGAGGUAUAAUAGGAGGGUUAGUAUAGAAUAAUGGAGGUAUAAUAGGGGGGUUAGUAUAGAAUAAUGGAGGUAUAAUAAGGGGGUUAGUAUAGAAUAAUGGAGGUAUAAUAAGGGGGUUAGUAUAGAAUAAUGAAGGUAUAAUAGGGGGGUUAGUAUAGAAUAAUGGAGGUAUAACAGAAUGUAGGAGGUAUAAUAGGUGGGUUAGUAUAGAAUAAUGAAGUUAUAAUAGGGGGUUUAGUAUAGAAUAAUGGAGGUAUAAUAGAAUGUGGGAGGUAUAAUAGGUGGGUUAGUAUAGAAUAAUGGAGGUAUAACAGGGGGGAUAGUAAAGAAUGUAGGAGGUAUAAUAGGUGGGUUAGUAUAGAAUAAUGAAGGUAUAAUAGGGGGGUUAGUAUAGACUAAUGGAGGUAUAAUGGAGGGUUAGUAUAGAAUAAUGGAGGUAUAACAGGGGAGUUAGUAUAGAAUACUGGAGGUAUAACAGGGGGUUAGUAUAGAAUAAUGGAGGUAUAACAGGGGUUAGUAUAGAAUAAUGGAGGUGUAACAGGGGUUUAGUAUAGAAUAAUGGAGGUGUAACAGGGGGUUAGUAUAGAAUAAUGGAGGUGUAACAGGGGGUUAGUAUAGAAUAAUGGAGGUGUAACAGGGGGUUAGUAUAGAAUAAUGGAGGUGUAACAGGGGGUUAGUAUAGAAUAAUGGAGGUGUAACAGGGGGUUAGUAUAGACUAAUGGAGGUGUAACGGGGUUAGUAUAGAAUAAUGGAGGUAUAACAGGGGUUUAGUAUAGACUAAUGGAGGUGUAACAGGGGGUUAGUAUAGAAUAAUGGAGGUAUAACAGGGGUUUAGUAUAGAAUAAUGGAGGUAUAACAGGGGGUUUAGUAUAGAAUAAUGGAGGUAUAACAGGGGGUUAGUAUAGAAUAAUGGAGGUAUAACAGGGG